Molecule: ribosomal RNA, 1314 nt
Filed under: Nocardia sp.
Lineage: Bacteria; Bacillati; Actinomycetota; Actinomycetes; Mycobacteriales; Nocardiaceae
Description: bacterial SSU rRNA
Rfam family: Bacterial small subunit ribosomal RNA
Source: RNAcentral
GCGGCGAACGGGUGAGUAACACGUGGGUGAUCUGCCUUGCACUUCGGGAUAAGCCUGGGAAACUGGGUCUAAUACCGGAUAUGACCACGAGAUGCAUGUCUUGUGGUGGAAAGAUUUAUCGGUGCGAGAUGGGCCCGCGGCCUAUCAGCUUGUUGGUGAGGUAACGGCUCACCAAGGCGACGACGGGUAGCCGACCUGAGAGGGUGACCGGCCACACUGGGACUGAGACACGGCCCAGACUCCUACGGGAGGCAGCAGUGGGGAAUAUUGCACAAUGGGCGAAAGCCUGAUGCAGCGACGCCGCGUGCGGGAUGACGGCCUUCGGGUUGUAAACCGCUUUUGACAGGGACGAAGCGCAAGUGACUGUACCUGUAGAAUAAGGACCGGCCAACUACGUGCCAGCAGCCGCGGUAAUACGUAGGGUCCGAGCGUUGUCCGGAAUUACUGGGCGUAAAGAGCUUGUAGGCGGUUCGUCGCGUCGUUUGUGAAAACUUGGGGCUCAACCUUAAGCUUGCAGGCGAUACGGGCGGACUAGAGUACUUCAGGGGAGACUGGAAUUCCUGGUGUAGCGGUGAAAUGCGCAGAUAUCAGGAGGAACACCGGUGGCGAAGGCGGGUCUCUGGGAAGUAACUGACGCUGAGAAGCGAAAGCAUGGGUAGCAAACAGGAUUAGAUACCCUGGUAGUCCAUGCCGUAAACGGUGGGUACUAGGUGUGGGGCUCCUUCCACGGACUCCGUGCCGUAGCUAACGCAUUAAGUACCCCGCCUGGGGAGUACGGCCGCAAGGCUAAAACUCAAAGAAAUUGACGGGGGCCCGCACAAGCGGCGGAGCAUGUGGAUUAAUUCGAUGCAACGCGAAGAACCUUACCUGGGUUUGACAUACACCGGAAACCUGCAGAGAUGUAGGCCCCCUUGUGGUCGGUGUACAGGUGGUGCAUGGCUGUCGUCAGCUCGUGUCGUGAGAUGUUGGGUUAAGUCCCGCAACGAGCGCAACCCUUAUCUUAUGUUGCCAGCGCGUAAUGGCGGGGACUCGUGAGAGACUGCCGGGGUCAACUCGGAGGAAGGUGGGGACGACGUCAAGUCAUCAUGCCCCUUAUGUCCAGGGCUUCACACAUGCUACAAUGGCCGGUACAGAGGGCUGCGAUACCGCGAGGUGGAGCGAAUCCCUUAAAGCCGGUCUCAGUUCGGAUCGGGGUCUGCAACUCGACCCCGUGAAGUUGGAGUCGCUAGUAAUCGCAGAUCAGCAACGCUGCGGUGAAUACGUUCCCGGGCCUUGUACACACCGCCCGUCACGUCAUGAAAGUCGGUAACACCC